CCUACGGGUGGCAGCAGUGGGGAAUAUUGGACAAUGGGCGAAAGCCUGAUCCAGCAAUACCGCGUGUGUGAAGAAGGCCUUAGGGUUGUAAAGCACUUUCAAUUGGAAGGAAAAACUCAUGGCCAAUACCCGUGAGCUUGACAUUACCUUUAGAAGAAGCACCGGCUAACUCCGUGCCAGCAGCCGCGGUAAUACGGAGGGUGCAAGCGUUAAUCGGAAUUACUGGGCGUAAAGCGUGCGUAGGCGGCUCGCUAAGUCAGAUGUGAAAGCCCCGGGCUCAACCUGGGAACGGCAUUUGAAACUGGCAAGCUAGAGUUUAGGAGAGGAGAGUGGAAUUUCAGGUGUAGCGGUGAAAUGCGUAGAGAUCUGAAGGAACACCAGUGGCGAAGGCGACUCUCUGGCCUAAAACUGACGCUGAGGUACGAAAGCGUGGGUAGCAAACAGGAUUAGAUACCCCAGUAGUC
This 464-nucleotide ribosomal RNA is filed under the name uncultured bacterium. Its description in RNAcentral is "bacterial SSU rRNA". It matches the Rfam family "Bacterial small subunit ribosomal RNA", at positions 338 to 795 of the family's 1533-position model. The record is from RNAcentral.